RNAcentral lists this unclassified non-coding RNA (674 nucleotides) under Hevea brasiliensis (rubber tree). Lineage: Eukaryota; Viridiplantae; Streptophyta; Magnoliopsida; Malpighiales; Euphorbiaceae. The record is from RNAcentral.
GUUGCCUCUACCAAAAUGACUUAAACCAAUUAAGCUUGACACUUCUUUACUUAUAUUCUCUUUUAAAUUUUCAAUGUGGGACUAAAACAAUGAUACCAUUAAUUAAAUUAUAAUGGUUAUCAAUUAUUUAUAUAUAUAAACAAAAUUAAUAUAUUAAUAUAUAAAUGAGUUAGUUCAUGAGUCUCGCAGGCUAAUAAAUAAGCCAAUUCACAAGCCUAAACAAGCUGAGUAGUAGUAAGUUCAAGCUUAGCUUAUUUAUUAAAUGGGCUUAAAAAUUAAGCUCGAGUUUAACUCAUUAAGCAAACAAGCCAAACCAAACUUUUACUGAGCCAAUUCUUAAGCAGCUUGUGAGUAGUUCGGCUCGUUUACACCCUUUGAAUUAUAGAGAGAGAGGUAGCCUGUCUAUGAGGUGCAGUAAUCUGGGAAUUUUACCUUUUCUUUCACAGUUUUGAGUUGCUUGCAUCUGCAGCCGUUCAAGAUUAAGCAUUUGAAUUAGAUUGUUUGGAAAACAUGAUGAUAAGUGCAAUUAGCAAAAAUAUCUGUUGUCUUGAUACUGUCUGAUGCAUUUUUAUUGCAGGCUAUGGAGUUUGGUUUGAUUGAUGGCAUCCUGGAAACAGAAUACUGAACUGGGGUCUGUUCAUGUUUGGCCAUCAAAUACACAAAAAGGAAAUUAC